This 260-nucleotide ribosomal RNA is filed under the name uncultured bacterium. RNAcentral's name for it is "partial 16S ribosomal RNA". It matches the Rfam family "Bacterial small subunit ribosomal RNA", at positions 1244 to 1500 of the family's 1533-position model. The record is from RNAcentral.
AAGAAGCAAGACCGUGAGGUGGAGGCAAAACUCAAAAACUUAGUCUCAGUUCGGAUUGUAGGCUGAAACUCGCCUACAUGAAGCUGGAGUUGCUAGUAAUCGCGAAUCAGCAUGUCGCGGUGAAUACGUUCCCGGGCCUUGUACACACCGCCCGUCACACCAUGAGAGUUGGCAAUACCCAACGUACGUGAUCUAACCCGCAAGGGAGGAAGCGUCCUAAGGUAGGGUCAGCGAUUGGGGUGAAGUCGUAACAAGGUACC